This 269-nucleotide ribosomal RNA is filed under the name uncultured bacterium. Its description in RNAcentral is "partial 16S ribosomal RNA". It matches the Rfam family "Bacterial small subunit ribosomal RNA", at positions 524 to 776 of the family's 1533-position model. The record is from RNAcentral.
UACGGAGGGUGCGAGCGUUGUCCGGAAUCACUGGGCGUAAAGAGCGCGUAGGCGGCAUGCCAAGCGUGUGGUGAAAGCCCGGGGCUCAACCCCGGGUCGGCCGUGCGGACUGGCGUGCUCGAGCACUGUAGGGGCGGGUGGAAUUCCGGGUGUAGCGGUGGAAUGCGUAGAGAUCCGGAAGAACACCGGUGGCGAAGGCGGCCCGCUGGGCAGGAAGGCUCGCAAGAGCCGGCUGACGCUGAGGCGCGACAGCGUGGGGAGCAAACAGG